AAGACUAUAGACCUGCGGAGUACCUGCGGAAGGAUCAUUACUGAGUUUCACAACUCUCUAACCCUGUGUGAACUGAAGUCUGGUUGCUCAGGCAGGCGGCCCCCGGGGGGAGCCGCAGCUUCUCUGAAGCGCCUGCCGGAGGAUACCUAAACUCGUUUUAACAUAUAAUCUUCUGAGUAAUAAAAAAAAAAUGAAUCAAAACUUUCAACAAUGGAUCUCU
Molecule: unclassified non-coding RNA, 220 nt
Filed under: soil metagenome
Description: partial contains 5.8S ribosomal RNA, internal transcribed spacer 2, and large subunit ribosomal RNA
Source: RNAcentral